GGUUAAGCGACUAAGCGUACACGGUGGAUGCCCUGGCAGUCAGAGGCGAUGAAGGACGUGCUAAUCUGCGAUAAGCGUCGGUGAGGUGAUAUGAACCGUUAUAACCGGCGAUUUCCGAAUGGGGAAACCCAGUGUGUUUCGACACACUAUCAUUAACUGAAUCCAUAGGUUAAUGACAUAGGUUAAUGA
RNAcentral lists this ribosomal RNA (189 nucleotides) under Escherichia coli. Its description in RNAcentral is "partial 23S ribosomal RNA". It matches the Rfam family "Bacterial large subunit ribosomal RNA", at positions 1 to 191 of the family's 2925-position model. Lineage: Bacteria; Pseudomonadati; Pseudomonadota; Gammaproteobacteria; Enterobacterales; Enterobacteriaceae. The record is from RNAcentral.